RNAcentral lists this long non-coding RNA (716 nucleotides) under Phoenix dactylifera (date palm). Its description in RNAcentral is "long non-coding RNA (PDAC_LNC019014)". Lineage: Eukaryota; Viridiplantae; Streptophyta; Magnoliopsida; Arecales; Arecaceae. The record is from RNAcentral.
UUUAAGUAUAUAUGUUUCUUGCAUGAUAUGUUACAAUGCAUAAGUAACUUGCAUGAUUCCAGAAGCUAUGGCUAUGUAUGCGACAUGAUGAUACUGAUAUUUUAAUCAUGCAUGUAAGUUUGUAACGUCUUAGCUAGCCAAGAGACACUGUAAUGGCUCAAAGAUGCUACUGAUCGAAUGCAACUGAGCUGGCCUUGCUAGUGGCCGAGAAUAACUUCGCUGGCCUUGCUAGUGGCCGAGAAUGACUAGCUGGCCAAUCACAUACUUAUUGUGCCAUGAUGAUUAUUAGAUGAAUAUGCAUGUCAGCUUCUCAAACCCUGAUUUCAUAUGCAUACUUUAUGAAAAUUUUUGUGAUUUGCACUAUUGCUUUGUUUAAAUCACAUACUUAUUGUGCCAUGAUGAUUAUUAGAUGAAUAUGCAUGUCAGCUUCUCAAACCCUGAUUUAUAUGUUUAGUCUACUGGUUGAUCCGGUAGGAUUAUGCAGGAUUACUUACUGAGCCGUGUAGCUCACAUCUGUUUAUGCUUCGUUUUCUUUCAGAUCCUCAUCAGUGAUCGCCAUCAGAUAUGUUUUUAUUUUGUUACAGAGCUUCGUAUUUUUGGAGAAGCUUAUAUACUUUUGUACAUUUGAAUAGCAUAGAAGUUCUGUAUUUUUUGUUUAAAACCUGAAGGUUGUACUGCAAACUUUUAAUAUAUAUAUAUAUAUAAGUUUGAAUCCU